GAGGGUGUAGCUCAGUGGUAGAGCACAUGCUUAGCACGCAUGAGGGCCUGGGCUCAAUCUCCAGUACCUCCA
Transfer RNA from Camelus ferus (Wild Bactrian camel), 72 nucleotides. It matches the Rfam family "tRNA". From Rfam's summary of the family: Transfer RNA (tRNA) molecules are approximately 80 nucleotides in length. Their secondary structure includes four short double-helical elements and three loops (D, anti-codon, and T loops). Lineage: Eukaryota; Metazoa; Chordata; Mammalia; Artiodactyla; Camelidae. The record is from Rfam.